This is a long non-coding RNA of Xyrauchen texanus (razorback sucker), 385 nucleotides long. RefSeq lists it as uncharacterized. The transcript is spliced from 3 exons. Lineage: Eukaryota; Metazoa; Chordata; Actinopteri; Cypriniformes; Catostomidae. The record is from RefSeq and is a predicted model, not a curated record.
GUGAAGGAGCAGCUCAUUAUAAUAACCACAGCCGAUUAUGUCUGAUGUAAACAAGUGGUAGAAUUUGAAAGUGUGCAAUUUUACAAUUCUGGGGAAAGGGGCGGAACUUCCUCAUACCCUUAUGAAUAUAUAUAACGACUACUUGAACUCCAAAGCCAUUGUAGAAGUUGCAGCAGAGGAAUUCUUGUCCUGUAAAUUGAUCACCGUUACAGUCUUCAGUGUUCAAACUUUAAACUAAGGCCAUGAAGUUUGGAGACCUCAUUUCAUUCUCUCGUCCUUUGGGUACAAACACUGGGGAGUGUACAAUGGGAAAGAAAAUGGAAAAGAUACAGUUGUGGAGUUUUCUGGUGAAAGUGGAUUAGACAGUAAAGCAAACGCCACUGUG